This 2064-nucleotide unclassified non-coding RNA is filed under the name Hevea brasiliensis (rubber tree). Lineage: Eukaryota; Viridiplantae; Streptophyta; Magnoliopsida; Malpighiales; Euphorbiaceae. The record is from RNAcentral.
AAUUUUGUUUAGUCUUUUCCUAAUAUAUCCUUCUACACUCAUAUUGCCCCAUUAAAAAUUAAAAAAUUCACGUUACUAAAUUAUUAUUGAAACUAAUGAAUUUUAUUUUUAAUGCGUAUUAAGUAGGGGCAUAUGGUAAACAAAUAAAUAAACUGUUAUUUCAAAAUAGAAAGUGGCCUAUAAUUUGUAAAAAUAAAAAAGUAAAGUCUGUUUUUAUGGGAUAGAGGGAGUAUAUGCUUUUGAAAUGUGAUUAUUAUUCUUGCAAUUGUGGAUUUAAAUUAUUGCAAAAUGUUGAUUUAAAUUGUUGCAAUUGUAAGUUUGAUGUUUGACUUGAGCUGAGUUUGAUGUUUGAUGAAGGAGAUGAAAAUGUGAGGAUGAAAAGUUGGGUUACUCUGCUGAAUGAGAUGGCGGAAAAAGAACUGUUCAACUGAACUGAGCCAAAUUAUUUUGGUUUGGUUCGAUUCGGUUAUGGCUAUAUGUUCUAAUAAUUUGAGACUUCAGUUUUUCGAUUAACCGAAUGCUCAACCCUAACUUGAUGAGUUUGCAAAUCUUAUGAUUUCUUCUCUAUAAGGUUCACCUGAAUAUUUUAUAAGGAUUGCCUGAUCAGCUUCUUGAUUUGGCAAAUCUUGGACUUUCUUCUCUUAGGACCUAAUUAACAAUAGGUUGCUUUUCCUAUGAAGUUGAUUGGCAUAUAUUGGGUUUCACAAAAUCUCUCAAUUUAAAUUGAACUUGGUAACCAUAUCUUAUGUAGUCUGAAUGGAUCAGCUUAUGAAACAUGAAUUGGGCUACAUAUCAAAAGAAAGUGAUCAUGGGUUGUUUUUGAAACGGAACUGAAUUGUAGGGGUGGCAGCUGCUGAACAUUUAAUAUAGUAUCUGCUUGCUAGGAUUGACAAGUACAAUCUUGUCUUUAUACAUUUUAAAGCUUUAUAGUUUCUAGUUAGUAUAGCAUGGGUCUGCUCUUUAAAUUUAUAUAACUUAUGGGCUAAGGGGUGUGAGAUUUAGACUAAAAGCUGGACUGUGUCUGGCCAAGGUCAACUCAUUGAUUUUGCAAACAAUUAAUCUUAGGAUGGGCUUGAACUUUUGUAAAUCCUAUCCCAGCAAAUUCAACCCUCUGAUGUUGCUAAACUAUGACUUCCAUUAGGCUAAUGGAGUUGCUGAAAAAUGUCAUUUCCCAACUAGGAGAGGUUGAAUGAGGAGGCAUUUUCAUUGGUCUUGGAUUGUUUGCCCGGAAGAAUAGGUAUGGAUAUUUUAAUUCACUUUUCUUGCGCGUGGUAAAUACUCCGGUGACUAAAUGAGGUUCAGGACAGCUUGGAUAGUUUCAUAAGUUUACUUCUGGAAGGUUUUAAACCUGGUUGAAAAUAUCUUGGAUCAUGUAUGAAGUUUACCAGUUCAACCUGUGUUGCUCAGACUUGUGUACAAGUGUCAGGUGCAUGACCAUGACGGACAUUAGUACAUACAUUCAUUUCUUUCAUAUUCUUCCUUUUAUUUGGAGAAUCAUGCUUAAGUAACCUUGUCAAUUCUAGGUAUGUGGCAGGGUCCUUAGGUAUUGAAAAGAGUCAGAGCAACAGAGGUUCUGACAGAUUCAGGUUGAGUAGGCUGAUGCUGGUUGAUAUGUAAGAUUUAAGAAAUAUGUCCAUCUCCUAUAUCAUUUGAAGAAGGAUGACUUUUGUUUCAUAGCAUGGGCAAGAUCAAUUCUCGUGCUUUAGCAAAUUAGUUUCCAAUUUUCAUUUACUUGUUUUUUGUUUAAGAUAAAUACUAUUGAUCUUGGCAAGGAAUUUUUGGCAGGCCUAAGUUUAUGCACAAGUUGCAAUUGUGACAGUUAAAAACUUUUUGACCAUGUGUUGGGGAUUAGAACUGUGUUUCGUAAUGUUAAAGGGACUAGCGUCAUCAACUAAGAAGAGAACUGAUGGUCAGGCAUCAGAUCUUAUCAUAAAUUAGAGUUUACUGUGAAUUAUGUUGAGCCAAGAGAUUGCCUGUAUUUUGGCAUAACAUGCAGAGCAAGGUUCAGAGAAGGUGGUUUGUCUUUCUCCCAUUUGCUGUUGGAAUGAGUUACAAUUUGAUGAU